AACUCAAAGGAAUUGACGGGGGCCCGCACAAGCGGAGGAACAUGUGGUUUAAUUCGAUGAUACGCGAGGAACCUUACCUGGGCUUAAAUGGGGAGUGACAGCUGUCGAAAGAUGGUUUUCUUCGGACACUCUUCAAGGUGCUGCAUGGUUGUCGUCAGCUCGUGCCGUGAGGUGUCGGGUUAAGUCCCAUAACGAGCGCAACCCUUACCGUUAGUUACCAUCAGGUUAAGCUGGGGACUCUAGCGGGACUGCCACCGUAAGGUGAGAGGAAGGUGGGGAUGACGUCAAAUCAGCACGGCCCUUAUGUCCAGGGCUACACACGUGUUACAAUGGCCGGUACAAAGGGCAGCUACUUCGCGAGAAGAUGCUAAUCUCGAAAGCCGGUCUCAGUUCGGAUCGAAGUCUGCAACCCGACUUCGUGAAGCUGGAUUCGCUAGUAAUCGCGCAUCCAGCCAUGGCGCGGUGAAUACGUUCCCGGGCCUU
RNAcentral lists this ribosomal RNA (483 nucleotides) under uncultured Sphingobacteriales bacterium. RNAcentral's name for it is "bacterial SSU rRNA". It matches the Rfam family "Bacterial small subunit ribosomal RNA", at positions 898 to 1382 of the family's 1533-position model. The record is from RNAcentral. Lineage: Bacteria; Pseudomonadati; Bacteroidota; Sphingobacteriia; Sphingobacteriales.